RNAcentral lists this ribosomal RNA (564 nucleotides) under uncultured Glomeromycotina. RNAcentral's name for it is "SSU rRNA". It matches the Rfam family "Eukaryotic small subunit ribosomal RNA", at positions 548 to 1114 of the family's 1831-position model. Lineage: Eukaryota; Fungi; Glomeromycota. The record is from RNAcentral.
UUGGAGGGCAAGUCUGGUGCCAGCAGCCGCGGUAAUUCCAGCUCCAAUAGCGUAUAUUAAAGUUGUUGCAGUUAAAAAGCUCGUAGUUGAAUUUCGGGAUCAAAUUGUCGGUCGUGCCUCGGUACGCACUGGUAUUAUUGGUUCCUACCUUCUGAAGAACCGCGAUGUCAUUAAUUUGGUGUCGUGGGGAAUCAGGACUGUUACUUUGAAAAAAUUAGAGUGUUUAAAGCAGGCUUACGCUUGAAUACAUUAGCAUGGAAUAAUGAAAUAGGACGUUUGAUUCUAUUUUGUUGGUUUCUAGGAUUGACGUAAUGAUUAAUAGGGAUAGUUGGGGGCAUUAGUAUUCAAUUGUCAGAGGUGAAAUUCUUGGAUUUAUUGAAGACUAACUACUGCGAAAGCAUUUGCCAAGGAUGUUUUCAUUAAUCAAGAACGAAAGUUAGGGGAUCGAAGACGAUCAGAUACCGUCGUAGUCUUAACCAUAAACUAUGCCGACUAGGAAUCAGACGAUGUUAAUUUUUUAAUGACUCGUUUGGCACCUUACGGGAAACCAAAGUGUUUGGGUUC